GAUGAACGCUGGCUACAGGCUUAACACAUGCAAGUCGAGGGGAAACGCCGGGGAAGCUUGCUUCCCCGGGCGUCGACCGGCGCACGGGUGAGUAACGCGUAUCCAACCUGCCUCUGACUGAGGGAUAACCCGUCGAAAGUCGGCCUAAUACCUCAUGGCAUCGUCUGCGGGCAUCCAACGACGAUUAAAGAUUUCAUCGGUCAGAGAUGGGGAUGCGUCUGAUUAGCUUGUUGGCGGGGUAACGGCCCACCAAGGCGACGAUCAGUAGGGGUUCUGAGAGGAAGGUCCCCCACAUUGGAACUGAGACACGGUCCAAACUCCUACGGGAGGCAGCAGUGAGGAAUAUUGGUCAAUGGGCGAGAGCCUGAACCAGCCAAGUAGCGUGCAGGAUGACGGCCCUAUGGGUGGUAAACUGCUUUUAUGCGGGGAUAAAGUGAGGGACGUGUCCUUCAUUGCAGGUACCGCAUGAAUAAGGACCGGCUAAUUCCGUG
This 491-nucleotide ribosomal RNA is filed under the name uncultured bacterium. RNAcentral's name for it is "partial 16S ribosomal RNA". It matches the Rfam family "Bacterial small subunit ribosomal RNA", at positions 28 to 507 of the family's 1533-position model. The record is from RNAcentral.